Poeciliopsis prolifica (blackstripe livebearer) is the source of this 811-nucleotide long non-coding RNA. RefSeq lists it as uncharacterized. Lineage: Eukaryota; Metazoa; Chordata; Actinopteri; Cyprinodontiformes; Poeciliidae. The record is from RefSeq and is a predicted model, not a curated record. The transcript has 3 exons.
AAAUAUAUAUUUUUGCAGGCUUCAAGAGGAUCAGCGUGUGAAGAUCACUUUAUAAUGAUUUGAAAAAGGUUGCCAUGGCUACAGAAAUUGGAGGAGCAUCCUUAGAUGACACAAUACAACCAGCUGUGCGAUUCCUCAUGUCCCAUGAACUGGAAGUCCAGUUCAACCUUUUUGGCCAACAUUGGAAACAAGCUCUUGGACCUGCGUCUCUUUGAUGUUUUGUAUGGGGACUUAAAAGAAAUUAUCCAUCUACAGAAUCACACAAGCAUACAGCAAAGACUCUCGAAGUGGUUUACUGGAGCCCGAGUGGAAGUGGAAAUAGACUAGAGAGACUGCCAGUUCAAACUCAGGUUGGGGAGGUCUUUCAAGAUGGACAGUUUCAGUAAAGUAUGAGAGAUUUCAAAUUUAAGCAUGCAUAUGGCAUGUAGGUUAUUUUUAAAAAUGUUUAACAAAAAUGUAUUGUGAAAGAUCUAUAUAGGUGUGUAUAUUCACAUUGUGUGUAUCAAUGUGAAUAUACGUGUAUAAAGUUAUAUAGAUAGUAUUUAGAUGUAUACAUUUAUAGACCUGUAGGAAAAUAUGUAGGUGUCUUUAUUUGUGUGCAUCUAUAGAUAUAUAUUUAUAGAUCUGUUUAUAAGUUUGUUAUAGUAAACUAGCUUCUGUUAUUUUCAAAGAUGUCGUGAAUAAUUGCAGAUUUCUUUUUGUGGCACCAUUCCCUGAGUAUUAAUGAAGUUCUAAUAAUUGCUGUAGUGAGGUAAAAAAUAACUCCUGACAAUAUUUUAAAUUACUAAAUAAAAGCCUUGAGCAAAAUAAA